AUUGACCCUUCGGGUGAUUUGUUGGGCGUCGAGCGGCGGACGGGUGAGUAAUGCCUGGGAAAUUGCCCUGAUGUGGGGGAUAACCAUUGGAAACGAUGGCUAAUACCGCAUAACGUCUACGGACCAAAGAGGGGGACCUUCGGGCCUCUCGCUUCAGGAUAUGCCCAGGUGGGAUUAGCUAGUUGGUGAGGUAAUGGCUCACCAAGGCGACGAUCCCUAGCUGGUCUGAGAGGAUGAUCAGCCACACUGGAACUGAGACACGGUCCAGACUCCUACGGGAGGCAGCAGUGGGGAAUAUUGCACAAUGGGCGCAAGCCUGAUGCAGCCAUGCCGCGUGUAUGAAGAAGGCCUUCGGGUUGUAAAGUACUUUCAGUCGUGAGGAAGGCAUU
RNAcentral lists this ribosomal RNA (389 nucleotides) under Vibrio breoganii 1C10. RNAcentral describes it as "bacterial SSU rRNA". It matches the Rfam family "Bacterial small subunit ribosomal RNA", at positions 70 to 455 of the family's 1533-position model. Lineage: Bacteria; Pseudomonadati; Pseudomonadota; Gammaproteobacteria; Vibrionales; Vibrionaceae. The record is from RNAcentral.